GGGUUGUGAGGUUAAGCGACUAAGCGUACACGGUGGAUGCCCUGGCAGUCAGAGGCGAUGAAGGGCGUGCUAAUCUGCGAUAAGCGUCGGCGAGGUGAUAUGAACCUUUGACCCGGCGAUACCCGAAUGGGGAAACCCAGUGUGUUCCGACACACUAUCAUGUCAUGAAUACAUAGUGGCAUGAGGCGAACCGGGGGAACUGAAACAUCUAAGU
RNAcentral lists this ribosomal RNA (214 nucleotides) under Priestia aryabhattai. Its description in RNAcentral is "Bacillus aryabhattai partial 23S ribosomal RNA". It matches the Rfam family "Bacterial large subunit ribosomal RNA", at positions 1 to 207 of the family's 2925-position model. The record is from RNAcentral. Lineage: Bacteria; Bacillati; Bacillota; Bacilli; Caryophanales; Bacillaceae.